Canis lupus familiaris (dog) is the source of this 450-nucleotide long non-coding RNA. RefSeq lists it as uncharacterized. The record is from RefSeq and is a predicted model, not a curated record. Lineage: Eukaryota; Metazoa; Chordata; Mammalia; Carnivora; Canidae. The transcript is spliced from 3 exons.
GAGCAUAAAUUUCAGCUGUUCUCAGUCUUGCUGCCUUUUUACCGAAGACUUCCGACAGCAACAUGAAGUUGGGGGGCUUCCUCCUUCUGGUGAUGCUUCUCACCCUCAGCUCAGAGGUACAGGAGCUCCAGGCUGCGGUAAGACCAUUGAGACUUCUAGGAACCUGCGUUGAGCUCUGCACAAAUGACGAGGAUUGUGAUCUAGGAGAGCACUGUGUCAGCAAUGGGUGUGGCCACAUCUGUGCUCCAGCCUAAGGACAGAUGAAGAUUUAUCUUAAGGCUCAUCCUUCUCUAAUAAUUUCUCAUCGCUUCCUAUCUUCAAAGAUAUGACCAGAACUCCUUGACCAGGAAGACAGUUGAAAAUGGGGGCGUGUGUGUGGAGAUUACAAGAGAUGUGUUGGGGAAAGGAAAAAGAGUCAUUUCUUUUAAUAAAUCAUCAUUGUUAAAAGCA